RNAcentral lists this ribosomal RNA (253 nucleotides) under uncultured bacterium. RNAcentral describes it as "partial 16S ribosomal RNA". It matches the Rfam family "Bacterial small subunit ribosomal RNA", at positions 524 to 776 of the family's 1533-position model. The record is from RNAcentral.
UACGUAGGGCGCAAGCGUUGUCCGGAAUUAUUGGGCGUAAAGAGCUCGUAGGCGGUUUGUCGCGUCGGAUGUGAAAGCCCGGGGCUUAACCCCGGGUCUGCAUUCGAUACGGGCAGACUGGAGUGUGGUAGGGGAGAUCGGAAUUCCUGGUGUAGCGGUGAAAUGCGCAGAUAUCAGGGGGAACACCGGUGGCGAAGGCGGUUCUCUGGGCAUGUCCUGACGCUGAGGAGCGAAAGCGUGGGUAGCAAACAGG